CCGUCACUGGCCAGGGAACUCCUACGUUGAAUAAACAAAGCUGAUGUGUAAAGAAUUCUGAAGUGUGCUUCACAAGUCACCACACACAGCUAGCCUUCUGUUGGGGUCUGGCCCAGCCCUGUGCUUGGGUAAGGACAGAAGGCUCUGGGUGACGCUCCGUGAAGGAGAACCCAGUCGCUGGGCAUUGUCUCUUGUGCGGUGAUGCUAAUGUCUAUUCUUUGGUCACAUGCCUGGCUCUGCUUUGCUGCACAGCUCUGUCUCCCACUCCGUGCUGUCUGAGAUGCAGGUGAUCGAGCAGGAAACCCCAGUGAGUGCAAAAUCCUCUCGCUCGCAGCUGGACUUGUUUGAUGAUGUUGGUACUUUCGCCUCUGGACCCCCAAAGUAAGGCUGUUUUCUAGCUGUAAAUUUGGCUGCUGUGUUCCUCAUUAGGCUUCUCUGAGCCACUCUACUGUCUCCCUAGGUACAAGGACAAUCCCUUUUCCUUAGGGGAAAGCUUUGGUUCCCGCUGGGAUACAGAUGCUGCCUGGGGU
RNAcentral lists this small RNA (530 nucleotides) under Pongo abelii (Sumatran orangutan). RNAcentral's name for it is "retained intron". Lineage: Eukaryota; Metazoa; Chordata; Mammalia; Primates; Hominidae. The record is from RNAcentral.